RNAcentral lists this ribosomal RNA (667 nucleotides) under uncultured bacterium. RNAcentral's name for it is "bacterial SSU rRNA". It matches the Rfam family "Bacterial small subunit ribosomal RNA", at positions 61 to 725 of the family's 1533-position model. The record is from RNAcentral.
GUCGAACGGUGACAUUUCUAGCUUGCUAGAAGAUGACGAGUGGCGGACGGGUGAGUAAUGCUUGGGAACUUGCCUUUGCGAGGGGGAUAACAGUUGGAAACGACUGCUAAUACCGCAUAAUGUCUWCGGACCAAACGGGGCUUCKGCUCCGGCGCAAAGAGAGGCCCAAGUGAGAUUAGCUAGUUGGUAAGGUAAMGGCUUACCAAGGCGACGAUCUCUAGCUGUUCUGAGAGGAAGAUCAGCCACACUGGGACUGAGACACGGCCCAGACUCCUACGGGAGGCAGCAGUGGGGAAUAUUGCACAAUGGGGGAAACCCUGAUGCAGCCAUGCCGCGUGUGUGAAGARGGCCUUCGGGUUGUAAAGCACUUUCAGUUGUGAGGAAAAGUUAGUAGUUAAUACCUGCUAGCCGUGACGUUAACAACAGAAGAAGCACCGGCUAACUCCGUGCCAGCAGCCGCGGUAAUACGGAGGGUGCGAGCGUUAAUCGGAAUUACUGGGCGUAAAGCGCACGCAGGCGGUUUGUUAAGCUAGAUGUGAAAGCCCCGGGCUCAACCUGGGAUGGUCAUUUAGAACUGGCAGACUAGAGUCUUGGAGAGGGGAGUGGAAUUCCAGGUGUAGCGGUGAAAUGCGUAGAUAUCUGGAGGAACAUCAGUGGCGAAUGCGAC